GACGAACGCUGGCGGCGUGCUUAACACAUGCAAGUCGAACGAAGUGGCGAACGGGUGAGUAACGCGUAAUCAACCUGCCCUUCAGAGGGGGACAACAGUUGGAAACGACUGCUAAUACCGCAUACUGAAGGAGGGGAUUGCGUCUGAUUAGCUAGUUGGAGGGGUAACGGCCCACCAAGGCGAUGAUCAGUAGCCGGUCUGAGAGGAUGAACGGCCACAUUGGGACUGAGACACGGCCCAGACUCCUACGGGAGGCAGCAGUGGGGAAUCUUCCGCAAUGGACGAAAGUCUGACGGAGCAACGCCGCGUGAGUGAUGACGGCCUUCGGGUUGUAAAGCUCUGUUGUUAAGGAAGCGGUACUUAACCAGAAAGGGACGGCUAACUACGUGCCAGCAGCCGCGGUAAUAC
Molecule: ribosomal RNA, 408 nt
Filed under: uncultured bacterium
Lineage: Bacteria
Description: partial 16S ribosomal RNA
Rfam family: Bacterial small subunit ribosomal RNA
Source: RNAcentral